Molecule: non-coding RNA, 1036 nt
Organism: Schizosaccharomyces pombe (fission yeast)
Lineage: Eukaryota; Fungi; Ascomycota; Schizosaccharomycetes; Schizosaccharomycetales; Schizosaccharomycetaceae
Source: the annotation of a GenBank genome assembly
CGUACACAAGCAUUCGAUGAAUAAUGCUGCGUUUGAGCAUGCUCUUUGGAACAUUUUUAUAAAAUGCUUCGGGAUUCCACUCUUCAUCGUCCAACAUAUCUUCUAAAUUGAUGUCUUUGGCAUUUGGUGGGUAUGUUUGCUUCUGAAUCCAUUCUACACACAAUUUUACUAAGAAAUCCCUAGGAAAUCGAUUUAAUAGCUUCUGGAUCUUCUUGUCAUGCUUGAUUCGAAUAUUACUAGACAAUUCAGUACGCAUAGCGGUCCUCCUUUUUGAAUAUCUUAUGUUUACGACAAGGAGCCACAAUAUAUCAAUCGUUACCGUGGACUAAUUUUUUAUCCUCUCAAACACUGAUCACUAACGAAGGAUUUCAGAUAUAUUUGUUUUGUUAAAUAUUAAUGUUACAAAAGAAUGGUCUUUGAGAUCAUUUGGCAGCACCAGCUGUAAGCAAAUUUAACUCUUCCCAAGUUCUUCUAAGGCAAUGGUUUGGAUGGUGGUGAAGGGAGUCCUUGCCCAGAUUGCAGAAGUCUUGCUGUUUUCUCGGCAGCUGCUCUAUUAGCAUGAUAUCGAAUUCGCAUUUGGAAAAUAUCUCGAUGAAGAUUAUAGUGUUUGGAUUGGGUCUGUGUUGAACAUUCUUUAGAAGAUGAGGAGGAGGAGUUGAUAGAUUCAUUCUCGGCAGACGCCGAAUCUACAUCUUUCUCCUUCUCUGUCUGCUGCACUUCUAAAUUUGGUUCCUGUUUUGAUUCUUGUGGAUUACCGGUCGCAUCCUUCUCUACGUUUUUUGACUCAUCCUUAGCUUCUAGUUUGUUGGUGUCGAUUUUGUUAGUCACUGAUUUAAUCACGGAAAUUGGUGUAGCAAAACCUCGAUCUUGCAAAUGAUUGUAGCAAACAUAAAAACUAUUUUUAUUUUGUUGGUUAAAAAAACUUUUUCCUUCCCAUUAAAUUAUGUAUCAACUCAAACCAUGAAGGUUUUCACAAUGAUUACUUACAAAUCUAAUUUAGUUUUUGUUAUUAAUACCCAUUUUGUAGGCUUGUAAC